Molecule: ribosomal RNA, 1506 nt
Filed under: metagenome
Description: bacterial SSU rRNA
Rfam family: Bacterial small subunit ribosomal RNA
Source: RNAcentral
AGAGUUUGAUCCUGGCUCAGGACGAACGCUGGCGGCGUGCCUAAUACAUGCAAGUAGAACGCUGAAGAGAGGAGCUUGCUCUUCUUGGAUGAGUUGCGAACGGGUGAGUAACGCGUAGGUAACCUGCCUUGUAGCGGGGGAUAACUAUUGGAAACGAUAGCUAAUACCGCAUAACAAUGGAUGACCCAUGUCAUUUAUUUGAAAGGGGCAAAUGCUCCACUACAAGAUGGACCUGCGUUGUAUUAGCUAGUAGGUGAGGUAACGGCUCACCUAGGCGACGAUACAUAGCCGACCUGAGAGGGUGAUCGGCCACACUGGGACUGAGACACGGCCCAGACUCCUACGGGAGGCACCAGUAGGGAAUCUUCGGCAAUGGGGGCAACCCUGACCGAGCAACGCCGCGUGAGUGAAGAAGGUUUUCGGAUCGUAAAGCUCUGUUGUAAGUCAAGAACGAGUGUGAGAGUGGAAAGUUCACACUGUGACGGUAGCUUACCAGAAAGGGACGGCUAACUACGUGCCAGCAGCCGCGGUAAUACGUAGGUCCCGAGCGUUGUCCGGAUUUAUUGGGCGUAAAGCAAGCGCAGGCGGUUUGAUAAGUCUGAAGUUAAAGGCUGUGGCUCAACCAUAGUUCGCUUUGGAAACUGUCAAACUUGAGUGCAGAAGGGGAGAGUGGAAUUCCAUGUGUAGCGGUGAAAUGCGUAGAUAUAUGGAGGAACACCGGUGGCGAAAGCGGCUCUCUGGUCUGUAACUGACGCUGAGGCUCGAAAGCGUGGGGAGCGAACAGGAUUAGAUACCCUGGUAGUCCACGCCGUAAACGAUGAGUGCUAGGUGUUGGAUCCUUUCCGGGAUUCAGUGCCGCAGCUAACGCAUUAAGCACUCCGCCUGGGGAGUACGACCGCAAGGUUGAAACUCAAAGGAAUUGACGGGGGCCCGCACAAGCGGUGGAGCAUGUGGUUUAAUUCGAAGCAACGCGAAGAACCUUACCAGGUCUUGACAUCCCGAUGCUAUUUCUAGAGAUAGAAAGUUACUUCGGUACAUCGGUGACAGGUGGUGCAUGGUUGUCGUCAGCUCGUGUCGUGAGAUGUUGGGUUAAGUCCCGCAACGAGCGCAACCCCUAUUGUUAGUUGCCAUCAUUCAGUUGGGCACUCUAGCGAGACUGCCGGUAAUAAACCGGAGGAAGGUGGGGAUGACGUCAAAUCAUCAUGCCCCUUAUGACCUGGGCUACACACGUGCUACAAUGGUUGGUACAACGAGUUGCGAGUCGGUGACGGCAAGCUAAUCUCUUAAAGCCAAUCUCAGUUCGGAUUGUAGGCUGCAACUCGCCUACAUGAAGUCGGAAUCGCUAGUAAUCGCGGAUCAGCACGCCGCGGUGAAUACGUUCCCGGGCCUUGUACACACCGCCCGUCACACCACGAGAGUUUGUAACACCCGAAGUCGGUGAGGUAACCUUUUGGAGCCAGCCGCCUAAGGUGGGAUAGAUGAUUGGGGUGAAGUCGUAACAAGGUA